ACAUCUAAAUCUGUUCUUGUUACAUGUUAGGUGUUAGGGAUACCUCCACGUCUUUUUGAUCCCGGCGUCUUGUAGGGCCAGCCUUCUCCUUCCCCAGGCCACUAGGUAUUUCUGCUUCAUGACCAGACAUUGUCUCGUUGUUUUAUAAACACGGCUGCUGCUCAGAAGUUCUCCACACCUUUGUUUCCUGGAAGAGGAAAUGACACUUCCUGGAGCGGACUACAUGUGGGCGGUGAGGUUCUACUCAUUGUGUGAAACACACUCAGACUUUUGGUUGUGUACUUCAGUGUCUGCCCUAAAGUUUCCUGGAAUGAUGCUCAGGACAGACUGUGGUGUGGUUUCACCUUAGCCGGAAGAGGUAUGAUCCCUUCUUUGGAUCCAGAGCGAAGAAAUAAACGACGUCAAGAAUCCUAUCACUGGAGAGAUCACAGUCCAUCUUCCUCCAACUUGGAAUCUGCAAAAGGGAGCCUGAGACACCACCUCGCUUUCAUUUUGGACCCAGCUGGCGAUUAUCUUCUACUUCCCGAAGAGACCACUUCCUGCACCUUCCAUAACGGAUUUAGGAUAGAAACUAAAGAGACGAUGUCCUCAUUAUGAGCCUCGAUUCAGAGAAAGAAGAAAGUCACCACUCAGAGGGACACUAGUUUGGAUAAUUUCAUGAGGAGUAUGGCUGCCCAGCUGUCACUUUGCCAAAGGCCUGGCAGAGAUUGGUUUUAAAGUGGUCUUCCUGAAUCUCCAGAAGAAUCAGCAUGGUGUUAGACGACCAUGAUCUUCCCUACCCAGAGGCCUGAGAAACAUGUUGAGUCUUGCAUAAAUUUAUUCAGAAAAUGUCAAAAUUAUUCUAGAAGCUGUAGGUGAAAGUGACAGAGGCAAGAUGAAAAACAGGUAUUUUAAAUUCACAGCUUGGACAAGGGAAAGGGAGAUUUCUUUUUUCCCCUAGUCCAUCUAACUUUAUGCAUUCAGACGGGGAAAAAGGAUAAUUAGAAGCUAGAAAUUGUUAUUGCAUGAAGGGAGCUGUAAACACGGAAGCCAAAAUUGUCUCUCCCCCAGGGGAGCAAAUAAACCUUGAUUCCUACUCAUAAUAAGAUUGACACCAACUCUUCCAAAUCAGGAAGGGGAAGGGUCAAUACAUAUUUUAUCCGGAGCUUAAAAGGCAGCAGUGUUCAUAAUGUGGUAUUUUUUUUAAAGGUCCUAUGUUGUUAUGUAUGCCUGGUGAUGUUAAGCUAGUUUUUAGAUCUUAGACAAGGUAUGGGAGUAGGUAUUAUGUCUUCAUUUAAGAAAGAGAUGAUGAGUGACCCAAUUUUAGGUGGCUAAUAUUUUGUGUGCAUUUAUGACACGUGCCAUGGCAUGGUGUUGAAUACUUUAAUUAUUUCAUUUGACUGUGACAAUGAAUCCCCCAAGAUGGGGAAUAUCCCCUUCACUUGACAGAUGUGACAUCUGAGGCUUAGCGAUCAAACAAAUGACUUGCCAGGCUGUCACAAUGAGUGGUGGGGUGUGGCUUGACCCCCGGUCUGUUGACCCCAGAUUCAGGACCUUUGCCAUUAUAUACACGGAAACAAGACAAGAGCUGAAAUGACAGCCUGCCUCUUGGAACAGUAAAGUCAGUUGUGUGUGUUUAUGGAUAUCCCAACUAACAAGGUAUUCUAAGAAGAGUUAACAGAUGUAUACAUGGCCGAUUUAUAAAUCAUAAUGUGUCAAAAUGCCCACUUAACAAUGUAGCCAUAGAAAAUAAAGCAAAAUUUAAUCUUUAAUGAUUAGAUUUUAAUGAUUAGAACAUCUAGAGGUCAUUUUUUUCAACUAUUAUUAUAUUAUCGAAGAAUGAAUUUGAACAUGAUAGUGUCUCCCCUCCAUCACCCCCAACGCCAUUUUUUUAAGGUAGUGGAGUUUUAAAAACACAAUGUUGCUGUCUUGUUUUACUUGUGGCUUCUGAAAUUUUAUAGCACUGAUUUUUUUUUUUAAGGUAUCAAGGACAACAGAGAGAAUCUAAUUGUAACAUAAGUAUCUGAAUCAGAUAGCGAAUGGUAACAUUUUCAGUGUUGUUUUAGCAUAGAUAUACCUUAACACAAUAAAGUUUCAUUGUGUUUGUAAGUCAAACCACUUUAUUCUCUCAAUCCCUUUUGUGAAAAAGCAAAUACCACACCCAUCCCUCCCUACUCCCUUCUUCAACCUGUAUCCCUCAGACACACACCAUUUAUGGGUUUAUUUUGACAUUAACAUGCACACACGCACGCACACACGCAGAAUUUAUGUUAGACUUCGUAGGUUCCUUCCAGCUUUAAAGUUCUGAAGAUAAAUGCCAACUAAAAGAAAGUUCUAAUUGUCAGUGAUGGGAAAUGUAAUAUAAUUUGCUUCUAGUACUCAUUGCUAUUUAAAUAUAUUCACUGGUAUAAAAAAAUUCAAAUACUCUCAAGGAAGUCAUACACGGGUAGCACAGGAAACACAGAAAAUCAUUACUUUCUUCUUUGUGUACAUUUUCCUGCCUACACCACAGUCUCAACCAUUCACUCUGAAGUACAAAUUUUGUGGAACAAAAAUACAGGUAAUUUGCUUUUUCUCAGUAGUCAGAACGGAGGCCUACUGAGGCUAAAUUGAUCAUAUUUGACCGUUGUGUGAGUCAGAGUGACUCUGUUUCACGGUCACACUUUGUCCCCCAACUCAAGCAUCUCACCCCUGAAAUGUUUGUUGUUAGCCCCAAAUGGCAACCCUUGAGACGGGUUAUUUCUUUAAACUUAUCUUGGCUCAUAAAGUUGUAAGCAGAU
This is a long non-coding RNA of Lynx canadensis (Canada lynx), 2759 nucleotides long. RefSeq lists it as uncharacterized. The record is from RefSeq and is a predicted model, not a curated record. The transcript has 2 exons. NCBI's taxonomy places the organism in Eukaryota, Metazoa, Chordata, Mammalia, Carnivora, Felidae.